GGGGCUGUGGCGAAAUGGCAGACGCGCGGGACUUAAAAUCCCUUGCCGAAAGGCGUGUGGGUUCGACUCCCACCAGCCCUACCA
Molecule: transfer RNA, 84 nt
Filed under: Anaerolinea sp.
Lineage: Bacteria; Bacillati; Chloroflexota; Anaerolineae; Anaerolineales; Anaerolineaceae
Also listed under: 1 other name
Description: tRNA-Leu
Rfam family: tRNA
About the family: Transfer RNA (tRNA) molecules are approximately 80 nucleotides in length. Their secondary structure includes four short double-helical elements and three loops (D, anti-codon, and T loops).
Source: RNAcentral